Molecule: ribosomal RNA, 496 nt
Filed under: uncultured bacterium
Lineage: Bacteria
Description: partial 16S ribosomal RNA
Rfam family: Bacterial small subunit ribosomal RNA
Source: RNAcentral
GAUGAACGCUGGCGGCGUGCCUAAUACAUGCAAGUCGAGCGAACAGACGAGGAGCUUGCUCCUCUGACGUUAGCGGCGGACGGGUGAGUAACACGUGGAUAACCUACCUAUAAGACUGGGAUAACUUCGGGAAACCGGAGCUAAUACCGGAUAAUAUAUUGAACCGCAUGGUUCAAUAGUGAAAGACGGUUUUGCUGUCACUUAUAGAUGGAUCCGCGCCGCAUUAGCUAGUUGGUAAGGUAACGGCUUACCAAGGCAACGAUGCGUAGCCGACCUGAGAGGGUGAUCGGCAACACUGGAACUGAGAAACGGCCCAGACUCCUACGGGAGGCAGCAGUAGGGAAUCUUCCGCAAUGGGCGAAAGCCUGACGGAGCAACGCCGCGUGAGUGAUGAAGGUCUUCGGAUCGUAAAACUCUGUUAUUAGGGAAGAACAAAUGUGUAAGUAACUAUGCACGUCUUGAGGGAACCUAAUCAGAAAGCCACGGCUAACUACGU